UACGAAGGGGGCUAGCGUUGCUCGGAAUCACUGGGCGUAAAGCGCACGUAGGCGGGUUGCUAAGUCAGGGGUGAAAUCCUGGAGCUCAACUCCAGAACUGCCUUUGAUACUGGCGGCCUUGAGUCCGGGAGAGGUGAGUGGAACUGCGAGUGUAGAGGUGAAAUUCGUAGAUAUUCGCAAGAACACCAGUGGCGAAGGCGGCUCACUGGACUGGUAUUGACGCUGAGGUGCGAAAGCGUGGGGAGCAAACAGG
This 253-nucleotide ribosomal RNA is filed under the name uncultured bacterium. RNAcentral's name for it is "partial 16S ribosomal RNA". It matches the Rfam family "Bacterial small subunit ribosomal RNA", at positions 524 to 776 of the family's 1533-position model. The record is from RNAcentral.